AUGAGUUUGUGGUACAGACUUAUUUAUGUAAGCAAUUUUAGUAAAGUGGUUCAGUAAAAAGCGAUAGUUCACCAUCACUUCUUCAACGAAUUUCCUUCUUAAAUACAUGCCCAUAAGUACAUGCUGGCAAACAGACCCUCUAUCGCCAAAGGCGGUUUUUAUCUUAAUGAAGGAAAUACAAAUGUCUAAUAAAGUAACUGGUUUGGUAAAAUGGUUUGACGCAGGAAAAGGGUUUGGAUUUAUCACUCCAGCUGAUGGCAGCAAAGAUGUCUUUGUUCAUUUUUCUGCCAUUCAGAGCAAUGAUUUCAAAACCUUAGACGAAGGUCAGCGUGUAGAAUUCACCAUUGAGCAAGGCCAGAAAGGCCCAUCUGCUGCUAAUGUGGUUGCCCUGUAAACUCUCUACUGAGUUCAAAAUAAUGUUUUCAGCGGAGUGUGAAAGCCCCAUUUUU
Molecule: small RNA, 449 nt
Filed under: secondary endosymbiont of Ctenarytaina eucalypti
Lineage: Bacteria; Pseudomonadati; Pseudomonadota; Gammaproteobacteria; Enterobacterales; Enterobacteriaceae
Description: cspA thermoregulator
Rfam family: cspA thermoregulator
Source: Rfam by way of RNAcentral